AGCCGACGCAGGCAGCCGCCGGGUGAAGUACGCAGGUACCGCAGGUACCCGGCGCCCGCCCGAUUUCAGGGCAAGUUACUGUUUUCAGAAUCCAAGGGGAAUCUAACACCUAAACAAUGCCAAGAGAAAAGGAAGGAAAACGAAAAACUAAAGGAGCACUCCUGCCCAUCAUUCCAACUCUUAAAAAGUUCCUGAAAACGUAUGAGAAGUAUUGUGCACAGACUCAGACGUCUGUGUGUCCAGCCAUCAAAAGGGACUUGAAAACCAGCAUCAAUAAUGAACAAAUUCUCAGGAAGUUUGUACUUGUAAGACUUGAUGACUCCCCGCCAGGCAUCCUACCAAUUUCCUUGGAACCUUUGCUCAUGACAGUUCAGGAUGAGUGUUUCACUAUGGGGAGAGAGAUCUGCAUUUGGGGCCUUCAACUGAGCAACCCAGAGAUGGCCAGACUCGCUUUGCUUUUGGAAUCAAAGGGGUGCACCACCUGCCCAUUUACCACCCUGGAACUCAUUGAUUGCAAGAUGGAUCUGUGGUCCCUGGGGAGACUUGGGAAGGCUCUUCAGUCCAGCAGUUUGCAAACUCUUGUUCUUGAUUACUGCAAAUUUGGAAAUGAAGAAAUUGAGAGGAUUUUCUCAGGCCUGGAGAACAACCAAAGGCUUCAAGUCCUCAGCUUACGUUACUGUGGUCUGGGGCCACAGAUUGGGCCAAGGCUGGGCUCCAUCAUAUGCCAGAGUGCCAUUUGUGAGCUGCACCUUGAUGGCAAUUACUUGCAGUGUUCUGGAGCUCUGGAUCUCCUCAGACCCAUAGCAGAGUAUGCAGAGAUGCAGGGGAAAGACCAGCCAGCCACUUGCUCACCAGACCCCAGGCAUCCCCCUCAGCUGCUCCAAGCUAAGCAGAGAGGAAGUUCAACUUUGAACCAGAUUACAAAGUCAUCUGGAGCUCUAACAGUGAAAACUACUUCAGGAAAGAAGAGAAAAAAAGGUAUUGUUGUGGUUGUUUGAACUAUUCCUCCCAUUUCCUUCAUCUUGUAAAUCACUUCCUCCUUAAAGUAAUUAUUCCAAAGAGAGAGAAAAACCCAAGUGGAGAAGAACACUCAGUGUCUGAUGGCUUCAAGUAGACCAAAUACAGAACAUCUUAGCCAUUUCCACCAGAGGAAUUUGUCUUUGGCUCAUUCAACAAGACCAAAAAACAAGUAUGGGAAUAUCUCUGCAAUAAACAGCCAGUGUGACCUGAUACUUCA
RNAcentral lists this long non-coding RNA (1237 nucleotides) under Sus scrofa (pig). RNAcentral describes it as "lncRNA (ENSSSCG00040059044.1)". Lineage: Eukaryota; Metazoa; Chordata; Mammalia; Artiodactyla; Suidae. The record is from RNAcentral.